UACAGAGGUCUCGAGCGUUAGUCGGAAUCAUUGGGCUUAAAGCGUACGUAGGCGGAUAUGCAGGCGUCGUGUGAAAGCCCUCGGCUCAACCGAGGAAUUGCACGGCGAACCGCAUGUCUUGAGACAAGUAGGGGCUGUCGGAACGAUAGGUGGAGUGGUGAAAUGCGUUGAUAUCUAUCGGAACGCCGAUGGUGAAAACAGACAGCUGGGCUUGUUCUGACGCUGAGGUACGAAAGCGUGGGGAGCGAACAGG
This 253-nucleotide ribosomal RNA is filed under the name uncultured bacterium. RNAcentral's name for it is "partial 16S ribosomal RNA". It matches the Rfam family "Bacterial small subunit ribosomal RNA", at positions 524 to 776 of the family's 1533-position model. The record is from RNAcentral.